RNAcentral lists this ribosomal RNA (295 nucleotides) under uncultured bacterium. Its description in RNAcentral is "partial 16S ribosomal RNA". It matches the Rfam family "Bacterial small subunit ribosomal RNA", at positions 334 to 621 of the family's 1533-position model. The record is from RNAcentral.
GUCUCCUACGGGGGGCAGCAGUAGGGGAUCUUCCACAAUGGGCGAAAGCCUGAUGGAGCAACGCCGCGUGGGUGAAGAAGGUCUUCGGAUCGUAAAACCCUGUUGUUAGAGAAGAAAGUGCGUGAGAGUAACUGUUCACGUUUCGACGGUAUCUAACCAGAAAGCCACGGCUAACUACGUGCCAGCAGCCGCGGUAAUACGUAGGUGGCAAGCGUUAUCCGGAUUUAUUGGGCGUAAAGAGAACGCAGGCGGUAUUUUAAGUCUGAUGUGCAAGCCUUCGGCUUAACCGGUGUAG